This 180-nucleotide ribosomal RNA is filed under the name uncultured Staphylococcus sp. Its description in RNAcentral is "partial 16S ribosomal RNA". It matches the Rfam family "Bacterial small subunit ribosomal RNA", at positions 160 to 334 of the family's 1533-position model. Lineage: Bacteria; Bacillati; Bacillota; Bacilli; Caryophanales; Staphylococcaceae. The record is from RNAcentral.
GGCGUAAUGCAGGAUAACAUGUUGAACCGCAUGGUUCUACAGUGAAAGGCGGCUUUGCUGUCACUUAUAGAUGGACCCGCGCCGUAUUAGCUAGUUGGUGAGGCAACGGCUCACCAAGGCAACGAUGCGUAGCCGACCUGAGAGGGUGAUCGGCCACACUGGAACUGAGACACGGUCCAG